GGGCGGUUGGCGCAAUUGGUUAGCGCGCCUGAUUUACAUUCAGGAGGUUUACUGGUUCAAGUCCAGUACCGCCCACCA
RNAcentral lists this transfer RNA (78 nucleotides) under Candidatus Omnitrophota bacterium. Its description in RNAcentral is "Candidatus Omnitrophica bacterium tRNA-Val". It matches the Rfam family "tRNA". Rfam says of the family: Transfer RNA (tRNA) molecules are approximately 80 nucleotides in length. Lineage: Bacteria; Pseudomonadati; Candidatus Omnitrophota. The record is from RNAcentral.